UUCCGGUUGAUCCUGCCGGACCUGACUGCUAUCGGAUUGAUACUAAGCCAUGCGAGUCUUUGUAGUAAUACAAGGCAUACGGCUCAGUAACGCGUAGUCAACCUACCCUAUGGACAAGAAUAAUCUCGGGAAACUGAGCAUAAUUCUUGAUAGAUCAUAAUGCCUGGAAUGGUAUAUGGUUAAAAUGAUUCGUCGCCAUAGGAUGGGACUGCGGCCUAUCAGCUUGUUGGUGAGGUAAUGGCCCACCAAGGCGAUAACAGGUACGGGCUCUGAGAGGAGAAGCCCGGAGAUGGGUACUGAGACAAGGACCCAGGCCCUAUGGGGCGCAGCAGGCGAGAAAACUUUGCAAUGUGCGAAAGCACGACAAGGUUAGUCCGAGUGAUUUCUGCUAAAGAGAUCUUUUGCUAGUUAUAAAACCACUAGUGAAUAAGGGGUGGGCAAGUUCUGGUGUCAGCCGCCGCGGUAAAACCAGCACCUCAAGUGGUCAGGAUGAUUAUUGGGCCUAAAGCAUCCGUAGCCGGCUCUGUAAGUUUUCGGUUAAAUCUAUGCGCUCAACGUAUGGGCUGCCGAAAAUACUGUAGAGAUAGGGAGUGGGAGAGGUAGACGGUACUCGGUAGGAAGGGGUAAAAUCCUUUGAUCUAUCGAUGACCACCUGUGGCGAAGGCGGUCUACCAGAACACGUUCGACGGUGAGGGAUGAAAGCUGGGGGAGCAAACCGGAUUAGAUACCCGGGUAGUCCCAGCUGUAAACGAUGCAGACUCGAUGAUGCAUUGGCAUAUAGCCAGUGCAGUGUCGCAGGGAAGCCGUUAAGUCUGCCGCCUGGGAAGUACGUACGCAAGUAUGAAACUUAAAGGAAUUGGCGGGGGAGCACCACAAGGGGUGAAGCCUGCGGUUCAAUUGGAGUCAACGCCGG
RNAcentral lists this ribosomal RNA (913 nucleotides) under uncultured marine archaeon. RNAcentral describes it as "bacterial SSU rRNA". It matches the Rfam family "Archaeal small subunit ribosomal RNA", at positions 1 to 921 of the family's 1478-position model. The record is from RNAcentral.